AAGCAGGGGAUCGUAAGGCCUUGCGCUUUUGGAGCGGCCGAUGUCUGAUUAGCUAGUUGGUGGGGUAAGGACCUACCAAAACGACGAUCAGUAGUUGGUCUGAGAGGACGACCAGCCACACUGGGACUGAGACACGGCCCAGACUCCUACGGGAGGCAGCAAUGGGGAAUUUUGGACAAUGGGCGCAAGCCUGAUCCAGCAAUACCGCGUGAGUGAAGAAGGCCUUCGGGUUGUAAAGCUCUUUCAGUCGAGAAGAAAAGGCUACGGUAAAUAAUCGUAGUUCAUGACGGUACCGACAGAAGAAGCACCGGCUAACUACGUGCCAGCAGCCGCGGUAAUACGUAGGGUGCGAGCGUUAAUCGGAAUUACUGGGCGUAAAGGGUGCGCAGGCGGCUUUGUAAGUCAGAUGUGAAAUCCCCGGGCUUAACCUGGGAAUUGCGUUUGAAACUACAAAGCUAGA
RNAcentral lists this ribosomal RNA (460 nucleotides) under uncultured beta proteobacterium. Its description in RNAcentral is "bacterial SSU rRNA". It matches the Rfam family "Bacterial small subunit ribosomal RNA", at positions 202 to 645 of the family's 1533-position model. The record is from RNAcentral. Lineage: Bacteria; Pseudomonadati; Pseudomonadota; Betaproteobacteria.